Molecule: ribosomal RNA, 253 nt
Filed under: uncultured bacterium
Lineage: Bacteria
Description: partial 16S ribosomal RNA
Rfam family: Bacterial small subunit ribosomal RNA
Source: RNAcentral
UACGUAGGUGGCAAGCGUUGUCCGGAUUUACUGGGCGUAAAGGGCGUGCAGGCGGUUUGUUAAGUCUAGGGUGAAAGCUCCCGGCUCAACUGGGAGAGGUCCUUGGAUACUGGCGAACUUGAGGGAUGCAGAGGAAAGUGGAAUUCCCGGUGUAGUGGUGAUAUGCGUAGAUAUCGGGAGGAACACCAGUGGCGAAGGCGGCUUUCUGGGCAUUUCCUGACGCUGAGACGCGAAAGCUGGGGGAGCGAACAGG